This 599-nucleotide ribosomal RNA is filed under the name uncultured bacterium. RNAcentral describes it as "bacterial SSU rRNA". It matches the Rfam family "Bacterial small subunit ribosomal RNA", at positions 56 to 652 of the family's 1533-position model. The record is from RNAcentral.
UGCAGUCGACGGAGUUCUUGAGGAAUGCGGCUUCGGCCAAAUGACUUUUGAACUUAGUGGCGGACGGGUGAGUAACGCGUGAGCAACCUGCCUUUCAGAGGGGGAUAACAUUUGGAAACAGAUGCUAAUACCGCAUAAGAUUACAGUACCGCAUGAUACAGUGAUCAAAGGAGCAAUCCGCUGAAAGAUGGGCUCGCGUCCGAUUAGAUAGUUGGUGAGGUAACGGCUCACCAAGUCGACGAUCGGUAGCCGGACUGAGAGGUUGAACGGCCACAUUGGGACUGAGACACGGCCCAGACUCCUACGGGAGGCAGCAGUGGGGAAUAUUGCACAAUGGGCGAAAGCCUGAUGCAGCAACGCCGCGUGAGGGAAGACGGUUUUCGGAUUGUAAACCUCUGUUUUCGGUGACGAAUAAAUGACGGUAACCGAGUAGGAAGCCACGGCUAACUACGUGCCAGCAGCCGCGGUAAUACGUAGGUGGCAAGCGUUAUCCGGAAUUACUGGGUGUAAAGGGAGCGCAGGCGGGAUAGCAAGUCAGCUGUGAAAACUAUGGGCUCAACCCAUAAACUGCAGUUGAAACUGUUAUUCUUGAUGGAGUA